UGCUGGCAAGACCAAGACCUAAGGACU
This 27-nucleotide non-coding RNA is filed under the name Mus musculus (house mouse). Lineage: Eukaryota; Metazoa; Chordata; Mammalia; Rodentia; Muridae. The record is from RNAcentral.